Molecule: ribosomal RNA, 2796 nt
Filed under: metagenome
Description: bacterial LSU rRNA
Rfam family: Bacterial large subunit ribosomal RNA
Source: RNAcentral
AGGGCGUAUGGUGGAUGCCUUGGCACUAGGAGCCGAUGAAGGACGUGACUAACUGCGAUAUGCUUCGGGGAGUUGUAAGUAAACUAUGAUCCGGAGAUUUCCGAAUGGGGAAACCUAACAGGUUUUACCGCCUGUUAUCACUAAGUGAAUUCAUAGCUUAGUUGAAGGUAGACGUGGGGAACUGAAACAUCUAAGUACCCACAGGAAGAGAAAGAAAUUCGAUUCCCUCAGUAGCGGCGAGCGAACCGGGAAGAGCCCAAACUAAGAAGCUUGCUUCUUAGGGUUGUAGGACUGAACAUCUGAGUUACCAAGAAAUGAAGUAGUUGAAUAAUCUGGGAAGAUUAGCCAAAGAGAGUGAUAGCCUCGUAAACGAAACUUCGUUUCCUCAGUUCAGGAUCCUGAGUACGGCGGAACACGUGAAACUCCGUCGGAAUCCGGGAGGACCAUCUCCCAAGGCUAAAUACUACCUAGUGACCGAUAGUGAACCAGUACCGUGAGGGAAAGGUGAAAAGCACCCCGGGAGGGGAGUGAAAUAGUUCCUGAAACCAUAUGCCUACAAGUAGUCAGAGCUCGUUAAUGAGUGAUGGCGUGCCUUUUGUAGAAUGAACCGGCGAGUUACGUUAGCGUGCGAGGUUAAGGAGGAAAGUCCGGAGCCGUAGCGAAAGCGAGUCUGAAUAGGGCGAGAUAGUACGUUGACGUAGACCCGAAACCAGGUGACCUACCCAUGUCCAGGUUGAAGGUGCGGUAAAACGCACUGGAGGACCGAACCCGUGUAUGUUGAAAAAUGCUGGGAUGAGGUGUGGGUAGAGGUGAAAUUCCAAACGAACUUGGAGAUAGCUGGUUCUCUCCGAAAUAGCUUUAGGGCUAGCCUCGUGGAGAGGAUAAUGGAGGUAGAGCUCUGUUUGGACUAGGGGCCCGUCAGGGGUUACUGAAUCCAGAUAAACUACGAAUUCCAGAUAUCCAUACACGGGAGUCAGACUGCGAGUGAUAAGAUCCGUAGUCGAAAGGGAAACAGCCCAGACCACCGAUUAAGGUCCCAAAAUAUGUGUUAAGUGGAAAAGGAUGUGGAAUUGCAUAGACAACUAGGAUGUUGGCUUAGAAGCAGCCACCAUUUAAAGAGUGCGUAAUAGCUCACUAGUCGAGUGAUCCUGCGCCGAAAAUGUAACGGGGCUAAACACAUUACCGAAAUCGUGGAUGUACCGUAAGGUACAUGGUAGGAGAGCGUUCUAAGGACGGCGAAGCUAGACCGUAAGGACUGGUGGAGUGCUUAGAAGUGAGAAUGCCGGUAUGAGUAGCGAAAGAUCAGUGAGAAUCUGGUCCACCGUAUGACUAAGGUUUCCUGGGGAAGGCUCGUCCUCCCAGGGUUAGUCGGGACCUAAGCCGAGGCCGAGAGGCGUAGGCGAUGGAUAACAGGUUGAGAUUCCUGUACUGGUUAAACUUGUUUGAACAAUGGAGGGACGCAGGAGGCUAUCGAUGCGUACUGUUGGAUAUGUACGUUCAAGCAAUAAGUCUGUAGAUGAGUCAAAUGCUUAUCUACUUAAGGACAAGUUGUGAUGAGGAGCGAAAUUUAGUAGCGAAGUGAGAGACGUCACACUGCCAAGAAAAGCUUCUAGUUAGAGUUUAAUCACCCGUACCGCAAACCGACACAGGUAGUCGAGGCGAGUAGCCUAAGGUGAGCGAGAGAACUCUCGUUAAGGAACUCGGCAAAAUGACCCCGUAACUUCGGGAGAAGGGGUGCUGAGCGCAAGCUCAGCCGCAGUGAAUAGGCCCAGGCGACUGUUUAUCAAAAACACAGGUUUCUGCAAAAUCGUAAGAUGAAGUAUAGGGGCUGACGCCUGCCCGGUGCUGGAAGGUUAAGAGGAUGGGUUAGCGUAAGCGAAGCUCAGAAUUGAAGCCCCAGUAAACGGCGGCCGUAACUAUAACGGUCCUAAGGUAGCGAAAUUCCUUGUCGGGUAAGUUCCGACCUGCACGAAAGGUGUAAUGAUUUGGGCACUGUCUCAACGAGAGACUCGGUGAAAUUAUAAUACCCGUGAAGAUGCGGGUUACCCGCGACAGGACGGAAAGACCCCAUGGAGCUUCACUGUAGCUUGAUAUUGAGUAUCUUUUAAACAUGUACAGGAUAGGUAGGAGCCAGAGAAGAUAGGACGCUAGUCUUAUUGGAGGCAAUGUUGGGAUACUACCCUUGUUUGAAGGAUGCUCUAACCUCGACCUGUAAGCCAGGCCAGGGACAGUGUCAGGUGGGCAGUUUGACUGGGGCGGUCGCCUCCUAAAGUGUAACGGAGGCGCUCAAAGGUUCCCUCAGAAUGGUUGGAAAUCAUUCGCAGAGUGUAAAGGUAUAAGGGAGCUUGACUGCGAGAGAGACAACUCGAGCAGGUAGGAAACUAGGACUUAGUGAUCUGGUGGUACCGUAUGGAAGGGCCAUCACUCAACGGAUAAAAGCUACCCUGGGGAUAACAGGCUUAUCUCCCCCAAGAGUUCACAUCGACGGGGAGGUUUGGCACCUCGAUGUCGGCUCAUCGCAUCCUGGGGCUGUAGUCGGUCCCAAGGGUUGGGCUGUUCGCCCAUUAAAGCGGUACGCGAGCUGGGUUCAGAACGUCGUGAGACAGUUCGGUCCCUAUCCGUCGUGGGCGUAGGAAAUUUGAGAGGAGCUGUCCUUAGUACGAGAGGACCGGGAUGGACGCACCGCUGGUGUACCAGUUGUUCCGCCAGGAGCAUCGCUGGGUAGCUAUGUGCGGAAGGGAUAAGCGCUGAAAGCAUCUAAGUGCGAAGCCCCCCUCAAGAUGAGAUUUCCUUUGC